UGUUGAAAAUUUUAUCCAUUUGUAAUGUUAAAAAUUAAUGUAGCUGACAGAAUAAUAAAACAAUCACACGUGGCAUGCUACCUGUACCUUAUGUUGAUGUAUAAUGAUUAUUUUUUAAUAGUAAAAAAUGUAUGAAAAUUUUAACA
Gossypium hirsutum (cotton) is the source of this 146-nucleotide non-coding RNA. The record is from Rfam. NCBI's taxonomy places the organism in Eukaryota, Viridiplantae, Streptophyta, Magnoliopsida, Malvales, Malvaceae.